ACCCUCUGGUUCCCUUUCCCAUCCGAUCCAAACACUGCUCUGGGUGAUCCUAAAAGGAGGAAAAGGAACUCUGAAGCUGACCCCACAGUGCUUUGCAGCAUGUCGGUUAGCUUCAAACAGGU
This 122-nucleotide small nucleolar RNA is filed under the name Dasypus novemcinctus (nine-banded armadillo). RNAcentral's name for it is "Small nucleolar RNA SNORA61 (ENSDNOG00000039904.1)". It matches the Rfam family "Small nucleolar RNA SNORA61". Rfam says of the family: ACA61 is a member of the H/ACA class of snoRNA that guide the sites of modification of uridines to pseudouridines. The record is from RNAcentral. Lineage: Eukaryota; Metazoa; Chordata; Mammalia; Cingulata; Dasypodidae.